This 99-nucleotide ribosomal RNA is filed under the name uncultured eukaryote. Its description in RNAcentral is "partial small subunit ribosomal RNA". It matches the Rfam family "Eukaryotic small subunit ribosomal RNA", at positions 1676 to 1785 of the family's 1831-position model. The record is from RNAcentral.
UCGCUCCUACCGAUUGAGUGAUCCGGUGAACCUUUGGGACCGCGUAUGGCUUGUCCAGGCGUGGAAACUCAAGUAAACCACAUCACUUAGAGGAAGGAG